This 416-nucleotide ribosomal RNA is filed under the name uncultured bacterium. RNAcentral's name for it is "bacterial SSU rRNA". It matches the Rfam family "Bacterial small subunit ribosomal RNA", at positions 28 to 438 of the family's 1533-position model. The record is from RNAcentral.
GAUGAACGCUAGCGGCAGGCUUAAUACAUGCAAGUCGAGGGGCAGCACGAAUAGCAAUAUUUGGUGGCGACCGGCAAACGGGUGCGGAACACGUACAGAACCUUCCUUCGAGCGGGGAAUAGCCCGAAGAAAUUCGGAUUAAUACCCCCAUAGUAAAUUGAAAAGGCAUCUUUUUAAUUUUAAAGUAAUUAUCACUUGAAGAUGGCUGUGCGCCUGAUUAGGUAGUUGGCGGGGUAACGGCCCACCAAGCCUGCGAUCAGUAACUGGUGUGAGAGCACGACCAGUCACACGGGCACUGAGACACGGGCCCGACUCCUACGGGAGGCAGCAGUAAGGAAUAUUGGUCAAUGGACGCAAGUCUGAACCAGCCAUGCCGCGUGGAGGAUGAAGGUCCUCUGGAUUGUAAACUUCUUUUA